UACGGAGGGUGCGAGCGUUAAUCGGAAUUACUGGGCGUAAAGGGUGCGUAGGUGGUUUGUUAAGUUAUCUGUGAAAUCCCUGGGCUCAACCUGGGCAGGUCAGAUAAAACUGAUAAACUCGAGUAUAGGAGAGGGUAGUGGAAUUUCCGGUGUAGCGGUGAAAUGCGUAGAGAUCGGAAGGAACACCAGUGGCGAAGGCGGCUACCUGGCCUAAUACUGACACUGAGGCACGAAAGCGUGGGGAGCAAACAGG
Molecule: ribosomal RNA, 253 nt
Filed under: uncultured bacterium
Lineage: Bacteria
Description: partial 16S ribosomal RNA
Rfam family: Bacterial small subunit ribosomal RNA
Source: RNAcentral